GGUCAGAGAUACUGCAUAAGCAAGGCAUUUCCUCCCAUCUGUGCCCCAGGACAGUUUACUAGGUGAAAAUGUUCAUAGUUGAGAUGCGACCAUGAGCCAGAGCACCAGCACUCCACUUAUCUCCAGUGAGGGGGUCUUGACUGCCAGUUGGCUGAUUGCAGAAUAUUUCCCAGCUUUGCUUAUGGAUCCUGUGAAGAUGUGGGUUCAUUUUUAUCCUUUACUACUGUGGUGAAGUGUGAAUGUGAUGAGGAUUUGUUCUGGUUGGAGAGGCUAAAAUCACCUGCAGAAAUUCACACUGUCUCCAGCUCCUAAAUGUAAAGGCAACUCCAACUUUACUGACGGCCCUUGCUCUGUGUCUGAAACCAAAGAUAGAAAAUGGGAAUCUGUCUGGGAAUAAAGACAAGUAUGUUGAUCCUGAAAAUGCCGCUGUCCAGUGUGACUCUGGAUAUCGUGUGGUUGGCUCUCCAAGUAUCAUCUGCUCAGAGAAUGGAACCUGGUACCCAGGGGUGCCCACAUGUGAGUGGGACACCCAUAAGGGCUGUGAGCAGGUGCUAGCGGGCAGAAAACUCAGGCAGCGUCUCCCAAGCCCGGAGGCCAUGAAACUGGCCCUGGAGUUGUACAAGCUGGCUCUGGAGAUUGGACAACUGGGCAAGAGAGAGACUUGAGGAGGACUGCCAGUUAGGAAUCAGCACAUCUAAUUCCCCUGAACCCCCCAAGAUGGAGAAUUAGGUACAGUUCUCUCAUUAAGAACUGUACUGUUCCUUAAGUAGUUAUUUGCUGAAAGCAGUGUCUGUGUUGGGCAUGUCGGUUCAUAUUCUUAGUGCCACAGAGAAUGUGAAACUUUUGAUUUAUAUCUUAACUCAGCUUAAGCGUCUGUGUUCCUGAAUUUGGUGGAACAGCAGAAAUAAAUAAUCACUUGUC
Long non-coding RNA from Manis javanica (Malayan pangolin), 921 nucleotides. RefSeq lists it as uncharacterized. The record is from RefSeq and is a predicted model, not a curated record. NCBI's taxonomy places the organism in Eukaryota, Metazoa, Chordata, Mammalia, Pholidota, Manidae.